Long non-coding RNA from Papaver somniferum (opium poppy), 2167 nucleotides. RefSeq lists it as uncharacterized. The transcript has 3 exons. NCBI's taxonomy places the organism in Eukaryota, Viridiplantae, Streptophyta, Magnoliopsida, Ranunculales, Papaveraceae. The record is from RefSeq and is a predicted model, not a curated record.
UCUGAAUGAAUAGAGAGUAUGAAUAGUUUCCAUCAACGUGUUUCGUCAAUGGACUCACCACUACCACAUAUAUGUAAGAAAAAUAGUACUAGGAAAGAGAUAACAUUUAGAGGUGGAUGGUCUGAAAUGAAAGAUUUGUAUGACAUUGUGUCCCAACAUGAAGAAUGUAAAAAAAUCAUUGAUAAAUGUGGUUGUCAAAGAUUGUUUGAAAUAGAUGCCCCGUUUUGUGACAAGAAGCUUGCGGAUGCAAUUGUUGAGCGAUGGUGGGAGUCCACCAAUACAUUCCAUUUUCCGGAGUUUGAAAUAGGUUUCACACCACAUGAUUUUACUUCACUGACCGGUAUUUCGGUGGGAAGAGGGAGUAAUCCUUCGUUUAUACAAUGGGAAGACGAUGAAAAAUAAGAGUGUUUAAUAAUGGCAAGAGCUUAUUUAGGUAAUGUGAUUGAAAAUGCUACACACUCUAACGAUUAUAACGAAGAUUACUUUAAGGGUGGUGGAGUCCCUUGUUCGCACUUGUACCGAUGGCUUCUACAAUUCAAAAAUGUUUCAAUUGAAGUUAUGGAACCCCAUUGGCAAGAGAUUACCCGAGCGUUUCUUAUGUGGUUUAUUGAGCAAGUUCUGUUUCCUAAUAGUUCAUCAAUUGUCAAAGUUGGAUGGUUGGCAUCCCUCUCUGAUCUAGAGGAAGUCGGUAAAUAUCUUUGAGGUACUGCAACUUUAGCUCGUCUUUAUCGAUCAUUAUGCGAGACUAGUAGCGGAAAAUCUCGUCAUUCAAUGGAAUGUGGAUGAUCCUACCGUGUUGGUUCUAUUUUUACUUCCACUCAUUGGUUCCAAUAGGAAUCCUAAUUCAUUUGGUUAUGAGGCAAUAGAUCUUGAUAGAUUUCCCCAAAUUGCGGUAUUUAACAAAGACCAACUGGCGCACAAUCAAGCAGGAACGGGAAGACACUUAAGAGUAGAAGCUCAGAGACAAAUAGACAUGAGAACAAUUGAGUCCACAACAUGGCAGCCUUGGGAACGAAGUAAGCUUGCAGGGAAGAAGAUUUUACGCCGUGCAAAACAGUUAUCUAAAUGUAGAUAUCUUCUUUACAAUCCCGAAGAUAGGGAAGCAGUUAUGUAUUUAAGAGAAAGGUGUUGGCGUCAAGUUACUGGAGAAUUCGCCAUACACACCUUAUACAGAGUUCUUGAGAAACUUCGAUAUGAAAGUAGAUGCUGGUGCUCAUAAGCUUGUGGUGGAUGAUGAAGGACUUUAUAAAAUGUAUUGGAAACAAGUUUCUGUUGGUCCUUAUUUAAAGCCAUUGGGUAGGCCAGUUCCGGGAAACCGAGAUGAGAUAGGGCCAUCAUCGUCCCAAAAUCCAGCACAUCGUCUUCCUUACCCCAUUAGUUUGAUUCCAGCUCAUCAUGUUUACGCUACAUAAGAGGACAAUCGCAUUCCACUAGUUGAUUGGAGCAUGACCGUUCCAGAUUCUGAUGGUGAUCCGAUGUCUAUCCCAGUUAGUCCUCGUGUUCCUAGCACCUCAUGGAGCGUAGACAUGCAUCCAUUGAGUGAGCGGCCAAAAGUUUCGGCACAACUGUAUGAUUUAGACUUCAAAAAAAGUAACGAGUUUUACAUCCGCCAAACACCCAACAAAUGGAUAAUACUGCAUUGCGAAGUGAUAAUAUGACACUGCGAAGUGAGAAUAUUGCUUUGCAAAAUGAUAAUACCGCAUUGCGAAAAGAAGUUGAUUCGCUACGACAAUAUCUUGAUGUUCAUACUCAAACACAAUGUUACCAUCCUUCCGAGGCAGAACCUUCUACUCAAGAUUGUGGUCCAGAAACUCAGAAUACACAACCUUCUCAACAUUUCAUGGCAUAUGGAGAAUAUGCAUCUUUGCUUAGCUCAAACUAAACAGAUUUACUUUCAUCACUUGGUUAUGAGAAUAAUUGAGUUCACAUUACAGUUCUCUUAAAAGUUAGAUUACUGGAGUCCGAAGUUUAGAGAUUAUGUUAUGUGAUGAUUUUAAUUUUGCUGAACUAAUUUGGGUGUUCCUUCCAAGCUGAACUCUAUGGAUUUAGUUAGUGUCUUGGUACUGUAUUGUGCUUGUUGGUCGCUUUAAUUUCCUCGAGUCCUGUAAUCUCUAUCUUUGUUUUAGUAUGAAAUUGUUAAUGAGAACUCGAUAUUUCCUCGCUGAAA